This 470-nucleotide ribosomal RNA is filed under the name uncultured bacterium. RNAcentral describes it as "partial 16S ribosomal RNA". It matches the Rfam family "Bacterial small subunit ribosomal RNA", at positions 28 to 506 of the family's 1533-position model. The record is from RNAcentral.
GACGAACGCUGGCGGCGUGCUUAACACAUGCAAGUCGAACGGAAAGGCCCUGCUUGCAGGGUGCUCGAGUGGCGAACGGGUGAGUAACACGUGGGUGAUCUGCCCCUUACUUUGGGAUAAGCCUGGGAAACUGGGUCUAAUACUGGAUAGGACCAUGCUGUAGGUGGUGUGGUGGAAAGAUUUUUUCGGUAAGGGAUGAGCUCGCGGCCUAUCAGCUUGUUGGUGGGGUAAUGGCCUACCAAGGCGUCGACGGGUAGCCGGCCUGAGAGGGUGGACGGCCACAUGGGGACUGGGAUCCGGCCCAGACUCCUAGGGGGGGCAGCAGGGGGGAAAAUGGCAAAAUGGGGGAAAGCCUGAUGCAGGGACGCCGGGGGGGGGAUGACGGCCUUCGGGUUGUAAACCCCUUUCAGCCAGGAGGAAGCCUUUUUGGGGGUGACGGUAGUGGUAGAAGAAGCACCGGCUAACUACGU